AAAGGUGCAUGAGUGGUGUUUGGUUUUGUCCGGGUGGUUGGCUCUUUGCUUGCGCAACAACUUCCACCUGGCAUACCUCUUCAGUUUUGGGCCAAGGUUUUUAUUGCCUUGAAUGCGUGUGGUUUACUGUGUUGUAUACCUAUGUGACGGUAUUGAUGGAUUCAUCAUCUCCCAUUCAUCUUUCGUCAUGCAUGUGGCGUGAGAUGAACCUUAAAACGAUCUCUUUGGUCUACCUUGUUGACGUAUAACGUUCAUAUUGUGGCCCAUUGAGCAUUGCUUGGUUUUGUGGAUACAGAAUAUGAUGUGGGCAUGGGGUCUUACAUGAUCCUUGUUUUGUCCUAGUUGAACGUUCUUGUUUCUCUAAGAUGACUGCUAGCUCGAAUUGGCUUGUACCAUCGGGUGGGAUAUGUUGUCGAAGAGAGAUGGCGUUCUUGCUUCUCGAAA
Molecule: unclassified non-coding RNA, 444 nt
Filed under: Streptoglossa cylindriceps
Lineage: Eukaryota; Viridiplantae; Streptophyta; Magnoliopsida; Asterales; Asteraceae
Description: partial contains external transcribed spacer and 18S ribosomal RNA
Source: RNAcentral